RNAcentral lists this ribosomal RNA (200 nucleotides) under uncultured bacterium. RNAcentral describes it as "partial 16S ribosomal RNA". It matches the Rfam family "Bacterial small subunit ribosomal RNA", at positions 1301 to 1500 of the family's 1533-position model. The record is from RNAcentral.
CAGGCUGCAACUCGCCUGCACGAAGUCGGAAUUGCUAGUAAUCGUAGGUCAGCAUACUACGGUGAAUACGUUCCCGGGCCUUGUACACACCGCCCGUCAAACCAUGAGAGUUGGCAACACCCGAAGUCGGUAGUCUAACCGCAAGGAGGACGCCGCCGAAGGUGGGGUUGAUGAUUAGGGUUAAGUCGUAACAAGGUAAC